ACUGUUUCGGCAAGGGGGUCAUCCCGACUUACCAACCCGAUGCAAACUGCGAAUACCGGAGAAUGUUAUUACGGGAGACACACGGCGGGUGCUAACGUCCGUCGUGAAGAGGGAAACAACCCAGACCGCCAGCUAAGGUCCCAAAGUCAUGGUUAAGUGGGAAACGAUGUGGGAAGGCCCAGACAGCCAGGAUGUUGGCUUAGAAGCAGCCAUCAUUUAAAGAAAGCGUAAUAGCUCACUGGUCGAGUCGGCCUGCGCGGAAGAUGUAACGGGGCUAAACCAUGCACCGAAGCUGCGGCAGCGACGCUUAUGCGUUGUUGGGUAGGGGAGCGUUCUGUAAGCCUGUGAAGGUGUGCUGUGAGGUAUGCUGGAGGUAUCAGAAGUGCGAAUGCUGACAUAAGUAACGAUAAAGCGGGUGAAAAGCCCGCUCGCCGGAAGACCAAGGGUUCCUGUCCAACGUUAAUCGGGGCAGGGUGAGUCGACCCCUAAGGCGAGGCCGAAAGGCGUAGUCGAUGGGAAACAGGUUAAUAUUCCUGUACUUGGUGUUACUGCGAAGGGGGGACGGAGAAGGCUAUGUUGGCCGGGCGACGGUUGUCCCGGUUUAAGCGUGUAGGCUGGUUUUCCAGGCAAAUCCGGAAAAUCAAGGCCGAGGCGUGAUGACGAGGCACUACGGUGCUGAAGCAACAAAUGCCCUGCUUCCAGGAAAAGCCUCUAAGCAUCAGGUAACAUCAAAUCGUACCCCAAACCGACACAGGUGGUCAGGUAGAGAAUACCAAGGCGCUUGAGAGAACUCGGGUGAAGGAACUAGGCAAAAUGGUGCCGUAACUUCGGGAGAAGGCACGCUGAUACGUAGGUGAAGCGACUUGCUCGUGGAGCUGAAAUCAGUCGAAGAUACCAGCUGGCUGCAACUGUUUAUUAAAAACACAGCACUGUGCAAACACGAAAGUGGACGUAUACGGUGUGACGCCUGCCCGGUGCCGGAAGGUUAAUUGAUGGGGUUAGCGCAAGCGAAGCUCUUGAUCGAAGCCCCGGUAAACGGCGGCCGUAACUAUAACGGUCCUAAGGUAGCGAAAUUCCUUGUCGGGUAAGUUCCGACCUGCACGAAUGGCGUAAUGAUGGCCAGGCUGUCUCCACCCGAGACUCAGUGAAAUUGAACUCGCUGUGAAGAUGCAGUGUACCCGCGGCAAGACGGAAAGACCCCGUGAACCUUUACUAUAGCUUGACACUGAACAUUGAGCCUUGAUGUGUAGGAUAGGUGGGAGGCUUUGAAGUGUGGACGCCAGUCUGCAUGGAGCCGACCUUGAAAUACCACCCUUUAAUGUUUGAUGUUCUAACGUGGACCCGUGAUCCGGGUUGCGGACAGUGUCUGGUGGGUAGUUUGACUGGGGCGGUCUCCUCCUAAAGAGUAACGGAGGAGCACGAAGGUUGGCUAAUCCUGGUCGGACAUCAGGAGGUUAGUGCAAUGGCAUAAGCCAGCUUGACUGCGAGCGUGACGGCGCGAGCAGGUGCGAAAGCAGGUCAUAGUGAUCCGGUGGUUCUGAAUGGAAGGGCCAUCGCUCAACGGAUAAAAGGUACUCCGGGGAUAACAGGCUGAUACCGCCCAAGAGUUCAUAUCGACGGCGGUGUUUGGCACCUCGAUGUCGGCUCAUCACAUCCUGGGGCUGAAGUAGGUCCCAAGGGUAUGGCUGUUCGCCAUUUAAAGUGGUACGCGAGCUGGGUUUAGAACGUCGUGAGACAGUUCGGUCCCUAUCUGCCGUGGGCGCUGGAGAACUGAGGGGGGCUGCUCCUAGUACGAGAGGACCGGAGUGGACGCAUCACUGGUGUUCGGGUUGUCAUGCCAAUGGCACUGCCCGGUAGCUAAAUGCGGAAGAGAUAAGUGCUGAAAGCAUCUAAGCACGAAACUUGCCCCGAGAUGAGUUCUCCCUGACCCUUUAAGGGUCCUGAAGGAACGUUGAAGACGACGACGUUGAUAGGCCGGGUGUGUAAGCGCAGCGAUGCGUUGAGCUAACCGGUACUAAUGAACCGUGAGGCUUAACCUU
Molecule: ribosomal RNA, 2039 nt
Filed under: Escherichia coli
Lineage: Bacteria; Pseudomonadati; Pseudomonadota; Gammaproteobacteria; Enterobacterales; Enterobacteriaceae
Also listed under: 1 other name
Description: partial 23S ribosomal RNA
Rfam family: Bacterial large subunit ribosomal RNA
Source: RNAcentral